Molecule: non-coding RNA, 3169 nt
Organism: Podarcis lilfordi (Lilford's wall lizard)
Lineage: Eukaryota; Metazoa; Chordata; Lepidosauria; Squamata; Lacertidae
Source: the annotation of a GenBank genome assembly
GGGCACUGUAUUUGGAUUUUUCAUGCAUGUUUAAGUCCUGAGCAAUGGGCAAUUAGCUGUGUAAAUACUUUCUGGAGAAACAGCACUAUGGUGGUGACAAUCUGAACAAAUUCACUCAUCAUUUAUUUUAAAAUGCAAAUUACAGUACAAAUUUAAGACUUGAGAGGAUUGAAAGGCUGAUCCUGUAGACGGGCACUAGGCUACAUUUAGAGAGCUGAAUAUGCAGUGUCUGCACUUAUGUGGUUCUGCAGAUUUGCUCUGAACCCAGAAUAUAGUUUGAAGGCUCCUGAGACCAUCACCUUGCUGAAGCUAAGCAGGCCUGGGGUGCCGUCAGUGUCUGGAUGGGCAACUGCCUAGAAACAUCACUCAUGCUGCCUUGGACUCCAUAACAGAAGAAAGCUUGGGAUAUAAAUGUUAAAAAAUUAAAAAAAUUAAAACCAUUACAAAGUGCUAUAUCAUGGAAACUAGAAUGUGUAUUAAAAUAUAUAUAUUCUAAAUGCAGUAGUGGUGAAAUUUGAAAGCCUGGGUCUGUAUUCAGUAACUAAUAAAAAAGUAGCAGCAGUCUAAGAUUUAUAUAUUGAGUUAGAUUAUUUCCCUGCUACCUGGGUAAGCAAGGAUAGAACGUCAAUAAUAGAUUUGGAUUUUGGGGUGUAGAGGUAGAGAACCCUUCCCUUUCAUUAAACUUACAAAUCCUAUAAUUCUUUAUAAUUGGUUAUCUAGCUGGGGCUGAUGGAAGUUAAAGGUAAAGGUACCCCUGCCCGUACGGGCCAGUCUUGACAGAUUCUAGGGUUGUGCGCUCAUCUCACUCUAUAGGCUGGGAGCCAGCGCUGUCCGCAGACACUUCCGGGUCACGUGGCCAGCGUGACAAGCUGCAUCUGGCGAGCCAGCGCAGCACACGGAAUGCCGUUUACCUUCCCGCUGGUAAGCGGUCCCUAUUUAUCUACUUGCACCUGGAGAUGCUUUCGAACUGCUAGGUUGGCAGGCGCUGGGACCAAACGACGGGAGCGCACCCCGCCGCGGGGAUUCGAACCGCCAACCAUGCGAUCGGCAAGUCCUAGGUGCUGAGGUUUUACCCACGGCGCCACCCGCGUUAGAGGAAGUUAGAGUUAGGAAGUUAGGAAGUUAGAGUCCAACAAAAUCUGGAUGGUCACAGGUUUCCAACUCCUGUCUUGAGGCCCUUUUUAAUUCCACAGUUCUGUUCCGUACAAUAUAUUCACAUUAACUUGAAUUUUAAGUGCUGGAGUGGUCAGGCUGCUUCUUUGUACUGUGAUAAGCUACAGUACAGCCUGCAUAGAAUUUAAUGUUUUGAACUUGGUGUGUUGGGUAUGUUUCCACCCACCUGUUACUUGAAAGCAAACACCUGCCUACAGUAAAAAACAACAGCUGCCUCAUAUACCCUGAGAGUAGCACCCAUCCCACUUGUCCGCUUUGAUAGGCUAGCUGUUCAAAGUACAGAGAGUCUGAGGUUCCACUUUUCUUGAGGCCCUCAAGCGCUCUACCUGCCCCCUUGAGAAUCUCCUCCUGAGGUCUGAUAAAGCCAGAUUGCAGAGUCACAGCCUGUAUUGUACUGUGUCCAGGAUGAAGGAGAUCCUGAAAGGGAACGUUCCAGUACUUUUCUCUUCUCCCUAGGCUAAUUGAGAGAAGCAGCAGUCACUUUGCUUUGUGGUCCUCUACUGCUAGUUUAUGUAAACCGAAGUUUGAGACAGACCAGUUUAUCUGUCUUUUAUAAACAAACUUGUUUAAUAUAUUGCUUCUGAACAUUUAACAAUCACAUAAACUGUAAUUUCUGGCCCAUAUUUCAUCUACUCAUUCAAAUAUUUGAAUAGAUUAGGGAAGCACCUUAUUAGUUAUGCAGAAAAUUUAGCAUGAUUUAGAGCUUAUUUGAUUCCUCAAACUGUUCAUUCCACUUCUGUUAUUUCUAAAAGGAAAGCUUUAUACUGGCUGAGAGAAUGGCUGCUUCUUGAAAAUACUGACGUGCUGGACCUAGAAGGUUUUAACAAUGUAUUUGGGUGGCAUGCAUAUUUGUGGUAUGGCAAGGUUAAAGCACAUAAAGCGUUUAAAAACCAUAUUGUCAGAAAAGCACUGUUUAAUGUCUGGAUAAGAUAUAAGGACUUGCUUGAAAAUAAAACCCCAAGGUGGCUGUCACCAAUGGACGCGAAGGCUCAGAAAAAGCUCAAUAUGGAGGCCAAUUGGCCGAAAUAUUGGGAAAUUUUGGAACAAGAGGGAGACAGAUUAAAACUGCAGAGUUUUGAAAAAUUAAAAAAUAGAGCGCGAGACUGGCUCCAUUAUUAUCAAAUAAUGGAGGCGUAUAAUUUGGAUAAAAAAAUUGGCUUCCAGGUGGAAAAAUCAAAAUUGGAAACAGAACUGUUAGAUCCCAAAAUUAAGAACUUGUCAAGAAUGUAUAACUUGCUGUUGAAAUGGAAUACUCAGGAUGAAAUGGUGAAAUCAACUAUGAUUAAAUGGGCACAAGAUGUAGGACAUAAUAUUAUGAUGGCUGACUGGGAACAGUUAUGGACCACAGGUAUGAAGUUUACGGCAUGUAAUGCCCUAAGAGAGAAUAUAAUGAAAAUAAUCUACAGGUGGUACAUGACACCAGUCAAGCUUGCAAAAAUAUAUCACUUGCCCGAUAAUAAAUGUUGGAAAUGUAAAGUGACUGAAUGUACAUUUUUUCACCUUUGGUGGACAUGCCCAAGGAUUAAGACAUUCUGGGAGAUGAUUUAUAAUGAAAUGAAAAAGGUAUUUAAAUAUACCUUCCUGAAGAAACCAGAGGCCUUUCUCCUGGGCAUGGUCGGCCAAUCGGUGCCAAAAAAGGAUAGAACUUUCUUUAUGUAUGGCACAACAGCAGCAAGAAUACUUAUCGUGAAGUAUUGGAAGACACAAGAUCUACCCACCUGGGAAGAAUGGCAGAUGAAGGUGAUGGACUACAUGGAACUGGCGGAAAUGACUGGCAGAAUCCAAGACCAGGGAGAAGAGUUGGUGGAAGAAGAUUGGAAGAAAUUUAAAGUUUACUUACAGAAACAUUGUAAAAUUAAGGAAUGUUAGAAGGAUGUUGGAAUGAAGUAAUGUGGUUUUAACAGAGAUACCGUAAAGGAUUAAGAAAAAAAACAGAUUGUUAAAUGGUGAAAGGAGGGAAAGUAAAGUAACAUUAUAUUAAGAUAAAAUAGAGGAC